GGGGGCGCACCGGUUUCGACGGGAUUGAAUCGUUGUGGGAAGGCGUGCCGGGUUCCGAGCUCCCGUAAAACGAUCGGAAAACAACAACUGCCAACAACACGCAGUUUGCAUACGCUGCCUAAUUAAUUAGGUAGCCGCUGCGGUCUCUGGCUCCUGUCUGGAGGCCUGUCGGCGUCUUAAUGCAGGAUGGGCCUAACGCUUCGGUCCGGAGCGGACAGCCGAGAUCAAUCGGGCUAAGCCGACCGGCUCUUGCCGGUUCCUCACCGGUCGGACGAAAACCACCGAAUCGGACACGCACGUAGUCUUUUCAUGGCGGACUUUCUCGGACGCGGGUUCAAUUCCCGCCGCCUCCACCA
Molecule: transfer-messenger RNA, 356 nt
Filed under: metagenome
Description: sequence transfer-messenger RNA
Rfam family: transfer-messenger RNA
About the family: Bacterial tmRNA, also known as 10Sa RNA or SsrA, is named for its dual tRNA and mRNA-like properties. Its role is to liberate the mRNA from a stalled ribosome.
Source: Rfam by way of RNAcentral